This 253-nucleotide ribosomal RNA is filed under the name uncultured bacterium. Its description in RNAcentral is "partial 16S ribosomal RNA". It matches the Rfam family "Bacterial small subunit ribosomal RNA", at positions 524 to 776 of the family's 1533-position model. The record is from RNAcentral. RNAcentral also lists the same sequence under 1 other name.
UACGGAGGGUGCAAGCGUUAUCCGGAAUCAUUGGGUUUAAAGGGUCCGCAGGCGGUCUUAUAAGUCAGUGGUGAAAUCUCUCAGCUUAACUGAGAAACUGCCAUUGAUACUGUAGGACUUGAAUUUGGUCGAAGUGGGCGGAAUAUGACAUGUAGCGGUGAAAUGCAUAGAUAUGUCAUAGAACACCGAUAGCGAAGGCAGCUCACUAGGCCAACAUUGACGCUCAUGGACGAAAGCGUGGGGAGCAAACAGG